Molecule: ribosomal RNA, 253 nt
Filed under: uncultured bacterium
Lineage: Bacteria
Description: partial 16S ribosomal RNA
Rfam family: Bacterial small subunit ribosomal RNA
Source: RNAcentral
UACGGGGGGUGCAAGCGUUGUUCGGAUUUACUGGGCGUAAAGGGCGCGUAGGCGGCGCAACAAGUCACUUGUGAAAUCUCCGGGCUUAACUCGGAAAGGUCAAGUGAUACUGUUGUGCUAGAGUGCGGAAGGGGCAACUGGAAUUCUCGGUGUAGCGGUGAAAUGCGUAGAUAUCGAGAGGAACACCUGCGGCGAAGGCGGGUUGCUGGGCCGACACUGACGCUGAUGCGCGAAAGCCAGGGGAGCGAGCGGG